Molecule: ribosomal RNA, 535 nt
Filed under: Speolepta leptogaster
Lineage: Eukaryota; Metazoa; Arthropoda; Insecta; Diptera; Mycetophilidae
Description: partial 16S ribosomal RNA
Rfam family: Bacterial large subunit ribosomal RNA (bases 400-535)
Source: RNAcentral
UUAUCAAAAACAUGUCUUUUUGUAAUAAAUUUAAAGUCUGGCCUGCCCAUUGAAAUUUUUAAAAGGCUGCAGUAUUUUAACUGUACAAAGGUAGCAUAAUCAUUAGUUUUUUAAUUGAAAACUUGUAUGAAAGGUUUAACGAAAUAUUAACUGUUUCAAGUAAAUUUUUGUAGAAAUUAAUUUUUUAAUUAAAAAGUUAAAAUAAAAUUAAAAGACGAGAAGACCCUAUAGAAUUUUAUAUAAUUAUUAUUUAUAGUUUAUUUAUAAAAUUUAAAAUUUAAAAUUUUAUUAUAUUUUGUUGGGGUGAUAAUAAAAUUUUACAAUCUUUUAUUAUUUUUAAACAAUGAUUUUUGAAUAAUUGAUCCAAUUUUAUUGAUUAAAAGAUUAAAUUACCUUAGGGAUAACAGCGUGAUUUUUUUUAGAGUUCUUAUCGAUAAAAAUUUUUGCGACCUCGAUGUUGGAUUAAGAAUAAUUUAAGGUGUAGAAGCUUUAUUAUUAGGUCUGUUCGACCUUUAAAUUCUUACGUGAUCUGAGU